ACGGGAGGCAGCAGUGGGGGAUACUGCACAAUGGAGGGAACUCUGAUGCAGCAACGCCGCGUGAAGGAAGACGGUCUUCGGAUUGUAAACUUUUGUUCUUAGUGAAGAUAAUGACGGUAGCUAAGGAGAAAGCCACGGCUAACUACGUGCCAGCAGCCGCGGUAAUACGUAGGUGGCAAGCGUUGUCCGGAAUUACUGGGUGCAAAGGGAGCGCAGGCGGGAAAUCAAGUUGGAUGUGAAAUGUCGGGGCUUAACCCCGGAACUGCAUCCAAAACUGAUUUUCUUGAGUGAAGUAGAGGUAGGCGGAAUGCCGAGUGUAGCGGUGAAAUGCGUAGAUAUUCGGAGGAACACCAGUGGCGAAGGCGGCCUACUGGGCUUUAACUGACGCUGAGGCUCGAAAGUGUGGGGAGCAAACAGGAUUAGAUACCCUGGUA
RNAcentral lists this ribosomal RNA (434 nucleotides) under uncultured Ruminococcus sp. Its description in RNAcentral is "partial 16S ribosomal RNA". It matches the Rfam family "Bacterial small subunit ribosomal RNA", at positions 341 to 792 of the family's 1533-position model. The record is from RNAcentral. Lineage: Bacteria; Bacillati; Bacillota; Clostridia; Eubacteriales; Oscillospiraceae.